GUCCUUCAAACUCCUUGGUCCCAGACCAGAGCAUCCUCCUACAGCCCAAACCCCUCAUCCCCAGCCCCACCCUGGAGCUCGCACCCUCAG
This is a long non-coding RNA of Gopherus evgoodei (Goodes thornscrub tortoise), 90 nucleotides long. RefSeq lists it as uncharacterized. NCBI's taxonomy places the organism in Eukaryota, Metazoa, Chordata, Testudines, Testudinidae. The transcript is spliced from 3 exons. The record is from RefSeq and is a predicted model, not a curated record.